GUCCACACCGUAAACGAUGGAUACUUGUUGUUGGAGGUAUUGACCCCUUCAGUGACGCAGUUAACACGGUAAGUAUCCCGCCUGGGGAGUACGGUCGCAAGAUUAAAACUCAAAGAAAUUGACGGGGGCCCGCACAAGCGGUGGAGUAUGUGGUUUAAUUCGAUGCAACGCGAAGAACCUUACCUACUUUUGACAUGUACUGGAAGACUGGCAGAGAUGUCGUCGCUCGCAAGAGCCGGUACACAGGUGCUGCAUGGCUGUCGU
RNAcentral lists this ribosomal RNA (264 nucleotides) under uncultured bacterium. RNAcentral describes it as "partial 16S ribosomal RNA". It matches the Rfam family "Bacterial small subunit ribosomal RNA", at positions 793 to 1055 of the family's 1533-position model. The record is from RNAcentral.